AUUGAACGCUGGCGGCAGGCCUAACACAUGCAAGUCGAACGAGUGGCGGACGGGUGAGUAAUGUCUGGGAAACUGCCUGAUGGAGGGGGAUAACUACUGGAAACGGUAGCUAAUACCGCAUACCAUCAGAUGUGCCCAGAUGGGAUUAGCUAGUUGGUGGGGUAACGGCUCACCAACGCGACGAUCCCUAGCUGGUCUGAGAGGAGGACCAGCCACCCUGGGAGGAAGGGACGGUCGAGAAUCCUACGGAGGGAGGCAGUGGGGAAGAUUGCACAACGGGGGGAGGCCUGAUGCAGCAAUGCCGCGUGUAUGAAGAAGGCCUUCGGGUUGUAAAGUACUUUCAGCGGGGAGGCGUUGCCCGCAGAAGAAGCAGCGGCUAACUCCGUGGCAGCAGCCGCGGUGGUAAUUC
This 409-nucleotide ribosomal RNA is filed under the name uncultured bacterium. Its description in RNAcentral is "partial 16S ribosomal RNA". It matches the Rfam family "Bacterial small subunit ribosomal RNA", at positions 29 to 526 of the family's 1533-position model. The record is from RNAcentral.